UGGGGAAUUUUGGACAAUGGGGGAAACCCUGAUCCAGCCAUGCCGCGUGUGUGAAGAAGGCCUUCGGGUUGUAAAGCACUUUCGGACGGAACGAAAUCGCGCGGGUUAACAGCCCGCGUGGAUGACGGUACCGUAAGAAGAAGCACCGGCUAACUACGUGCCAGCAGCCGCGGUAAUACGUAGGGUGCGAGCGUUAAUCGGAAUUACUGGGCGUAAAGCGUGCGCAGGCGGCGCCGCAAGUCGAGUGUGAAAUCCCCGAGCUUAACUUGGGAAUUGCGCUCGAAACUACGGUGCUGGAGUGUGGCAGAGGGAGGUGGAAUUCCACGUGUAGCGGUGAAAUGCGUAGAGAUGUGGAGGAACACCGAUGGCGAAGGCAGCCUCCUGGGCCAACACUGACGCUCAUGCACGAAAGCGUGGGGAGCAAACAGGAUUAGAUACCCUGGUAGUCCACGCCCUAAACGAUGAUGACUAGUUGUUGGGGGAGUUAAA
This 489-nucleotide ribosomal RNA is filed under the name uncultured Pseudomonadota bacterium. RNAcentral's name for it is "bacterial SSU rRNA". It matches the Rfam family "Bacterial small subunit ribosomal RNA", at positions 355 to 836 of the family's 1533-position model. Lineage: Bacteria; Pseudomonadati; Pseudomonadota. The record is from RNAcentral.